CAAUCUUCUAUUCUAGGUCAGGUUUUGUUUAUUAAGGAACACACCCAGCUCUUACUUCUAGUUCCCCACCCAAACACAACACUGGAUCCGGCCCUGACUCCUGCUCAUGUUGCUGAAACACUUCUUGAUCAUUUUAAGGAACAGUUCAAACUUUCACGAAACAGAUUAUAACAAACUGAGAAGUGCUGAGAGUCACAGCCAGGUGAGCUGUAAGGGUUACAAUGAAAAACUGAUGGCCUGUCAUGCUUCUGUCUUCAACUGUCACUCAAAGAUUCAAAGAAUGCAGGGGAAUCUCUGCAUACCAGGAAGAAGCUGAAAAACAGGAUCUCAGGGCUCAGCUCCGAAACACUUCCAUCACUCUGACUCCACCUUUCUCAGAAUCCAUUCAUAGAGAGCAGCUGAAGGCAUCCACCCACCCGCAUACACCUGGUCAUCUGUGUGAAAUGCCUGCUGUAGCGUCUGUGUCUCUCUGCUGGACUUUACUGUCUGUCUGCCUCCUACUCGUCUCUGCAGACCAGAAAAACAUCACAGCUGAGUCUGGACAGGACAUCACUCUACCAUGUCAAGCUCCAAACAACAAAACCAUCAAAGGCGUUGAGUGGAUCCAACCUGAACUAGAGCAAGAACGUGUCCUUUUUCACUGGGAUGAAAAAGUUAUUCCAAGCAACCAGCAUCCAUCUUUUAAGAACCGGGUGGAUCUGCAAGACAGACAGAUGAAGGAUGGAGACGUGUCUUUGAUUCUGAAGGAUGUGACGGUUAAUGACACUGGAACAUACGAGUGUCGUGUCCUUGUGAGGGGAGGGAACCGCAGGAAGAGAGCUAAUCUGGGUGGUGAACCCAUCAGCAUCAUCUACCUUCAUGUUGUUGAUCCUCCAGGUCACACAGGAGGACACACAAAGGAUAGAGGGAAGAUGGUUGGAGGUGUUGCUCUGCAAGUUUUUGUUCUACUUCUUGUUGUUGUUAGCUUUGUGAUUUUACUAGAAUACAAAAAAAGACGAAAGCGCCAAAAGCGACCACGUCGUUUUUGAACAGCAGAUUCAGUAAUGUUAAAACCAUCUAAUCCAAGGAUGUGAAUCUUAUAUUCAAAUGUACACAGUUUCCCCACUAGGGGGAGCCAAGGAAUUAUAAUCAACACAACUGGAAGAAUGCAUAGGAACAAGAGGCAAAAGGAAGGACUGAAGCCAAAGACAGACACAUGUAAAACUAAAUGAGGACGUGGAAACAUAAACAUGAUACAUAAACCAAAAAGUUACGACUGUGGCUUGAACACGUAACUUCCAGAACCAGAACUUAGAAUAAAAACAGAGUCAGGAACUGUGACAAUUACUGUCACAGUUGUUUCCUAUUCUUCUCAACAAUUUUAUUAAAAAUUUUCGCCCACAUUCCUGUUUUAUUUCCAUGUGGGUUAAGUUGUUAUGUAGACCAAGGUCAUUUAAAUUAAUGAAGAUGAGCUAAAUCCUCUGCUCUGUUUGGUGAUUGUUUUAAAGCUUAGUGUGAAUGUUUUUGUGGGUUUUUAUUUGCUGUGUUUGUCAUGUACUUUUGUUUUUGUUUGUAUUUUAUUUAUUGUUUUAUACAAUAAAAUGUUUUACUGUGAGAAGUUUGACUUUCGACAGUGAACAAAGUGAAACAGUGGUGAGAA
Long non-coding RNA from Astatotilapia calliptera (eastern happy), 1639 nucleotides. The record is from Ensembl. Lineage: Eukaryota; Metazoa; Chordata; Actinopteri; Cichliformes; Cichlidae.